ACGAUGAACCCAGCUUGCUGGGUGGAUUAGUGGCGAACGGGUGAGUAACACGUGAGUAACCUGCCCUUGACUCUGGGAUAAGCGCUGGAAACGGCGUCUAAUACCGGAUACGACCUGCCCCGGCAUCGGGUGUGGGUGGAAAGUUUUUCGGUCAAGGAUGGACUCGCGGCCUAUCAGCUUGUUGGUGAGGUAAUGGCUCACCAAGGCGACGACGGGUAGCCGGCCUGAGAGGGUGACCGGCCACACUGGGACUGAGACACGGCCCAGACUCCUACGGGAGGCAGCAGUGGGGAAUAUUGCACAAUGGGCGCAAGCCUGAUGCAGCAACGCCGCGUGGGGGAUGACGGCCUUCGGGUUGUAAACCUCUUUUAGUAGGGAAGAAGGACUUCGGUUUGACGGUACCUGCAGAAAAAGCACCGGCUAACUACGUGCCAGCAGCCGCGGUAAUACGUAGGGUGCAAGCGUUGUCCGGAAUUAUUGGGCGUAAAGAGCUCGUAGGCGGUUUGUCGCGUCUGCUGUGAAAACCCGAGGCUCAACCUCGGGCCUGCAGUGGGUACGGGCAGACUAGAGUGCGGUAGGGGAGAAUGGAAUUCCUGGUGUAGCGGUGGAAUGCGCAGAUAUCAGGAGGAACACCGAUGGCGAAGGCAGUUCUCUGGGCCGUAACUGACGCUGAGGAGCGAAAGCGUGGGGAGCGAACAGGAUUAGAUACCCUGGUAGUCCACGCCGUAAACGUUGGGCGCUAGAUGUGGGGACCUUUCCACGGUUUCCGUGUCGCAGCUAACGCAUUAAGCGCCCCGCCUGGGGAGUACGGCCGCAAGGCUAAAACUCAAAGGAAUUGACGGGGGCCCGCACAAGCGGCGGAGCAUGCGGAUUAAUUCGAUGCAACGCGAAGAACCUUACCAAGGCUUGACAUAUACCGGAAACUUCCAGAAAUGGUUGCCCCGCAAGGUCGGUAUACAGGUGGUGCAUGGUUGUCGUCAGCUCGUGUCGUGAGAUGUUGGGUUAAGUCCCGCAACGAGCGCAACCCUCGUUCUAUGUUGCCAGCACGUCAUGGUGGGAACUCAUAGGAGACUGCCGGGGUCAACUCGGAGGAAGGUGGGGAUGACGUCAAAUCAUCAUGCCCCUUAUGUCUUGGGCUUCACGCAUGCUACAAUGGCCGGUACAAAGGGCUGCGAUACCGUAAGGUGGAGCGAAUCCCAAAAAGCCGGUCUCAGUUCGGAUUGAGGUCUGCAACUCGACCUCAUGAAGUCGGAGUCGCUAGUAAUCGCAGAUCAGCAACGCUGCGGUGAAUACGUUCCCGGGCCUUGUACACACCGCCCGUCAAGUCAUGAAAGUCGGUAACACCCGAAGCCAGUGGCCUAACCGCAAGGAGGGAGCUGUCGAAGGUGGGAUCG
This 1394-nucleotide ribosomal RNA is filed under the name Rathayibacter tritici. Its description in RNAcentral is "16S ribosomal RNA". It matches the Rfam family "Bacterial small subunit ribosomal RNA". Lineage: Bacteria; Bacillati; Actinomycetota; Actinomycetes; Micrococcales; Microbacteriaceae. The record is from RNAcentral.